Molecule: long non-coding RNA, 4564 nt
Organism: Lytechinus pictus (painted urchin)
Lineage: Eukaryota; Metazoa; Echinodermata; Echinoidea; Temnopleuroida; Toxopneustidae
Exons: 3
Source: RefSeq, a predicted model, not a curated record
AUUCAUCCGCGCUUUAACAGAUCAUUAUUAGAUCGCAUUUUGUUCGAAUGAGGGGCUACGAUUUCACGUUUAUCAAUAGCAUCCUUCAGAUUUAGAUAUUUAAUGUCAUCAGAAAGUAGGCGGGGAGGAGGAGACGGUGUCGGCUUUCGAAAUAGCUGGAAGGGAGACACUGAAACUCAAAGCGGCGGAGAACCACCUUGGCAAGAAGCAGCCCAGAUCAGAAGUCGAGGGCGCCAAGCUGCUGCCUAUAUCCUGGCUGUAUCGAGAACGCUGGACGAUCUAAAUUUGGGAAUUCGCAAGGUAUCUAGAAUUAGUUCUGAAAUUGGGAAAUUAAAAUGGAAUGAAGUACGACGCACAUUACCACUUUAAAACUUUUAGAAGAUGGACAAGAAGGAAGCUAAACAUGGCCCCUUUUUCCUCGCUCACUGCACAGGUACAUUCAGUAAUCGGCGCCAACUGAAUUCUGGACAUAAAUUUAUGCGUCACAUUUCCAUCACGUGAUUAAACCUGGAAUCAUUUUUUUCUCCGAGGAUGGGCCAAGUACGCUCAACGAAACUGACGCUUCUCAAACGGGACAGAAUGUACUUUAGAAACCAUUUUACAGGCAGUUGGUGAAUAUUAAAACAUUGGACUAUUAACUGGAAAACUUGGGAUACAAAAUUAGUUUACAACGUUUUAUUCUUGAACAGGAAAACUCUUCACUUUUUGUGUGCGGCCUAGACACCAUUUUAACGGUAGAGCUUCGCCGAGACUAUCCGAACCUUACGGCGGGUUUGUUGAUGGGUCUCCGGACGGUCGUUCUACCCUUGAUAAUCAAUUUGAACUUGAUGAUUUUGUGAAUAUCAGCGGUCAGAGACAUGAUUAUGAAGCUAUGGAGAAAGAUUCCUUCAUUGGACCUGAGAUGAAAAUGUGUUUGACGCUAACUUUGUGUUGUGACCAUGGAUACAUGACGAUGCUAUCAUUGAAUUGGAUUUGAUUAAAUUGGAUUGGACAGAUGAACAUGCUGAGACUGAUCAAACGUUGCUGUAUGAGUGAGUCCUUUUACCCGUAGAACAAUACGGCAAUAUCACUUCAUGAUCUUAAUGAAACUAUGAAUUUUAUGGAAAUUGGUUAAGUUUAGGUUUUAGUGUCAGGAUUCGUAGUGUAAGUUCAUUUACACCCCCCCCCCCGUUAGGAUAGGCGCCUGGCCGAAAUGUAUUCUUUAGCCUUUUUCCAUAAAGUUCAUCGUGUCAUAUCAAGAAGAUUGCUGUGUUGUCACCUACUGGUAAUCAAAGUUAGUUGCAUAAUUUUUCUUGAUAAAAUGUUUGCCGAAAGCUUUACAACUUUUUUUUGGAAAAAAGGUAGUAAGGCUUUUACCCCGACAAUCUCGCUUAAUCGUUCUUUAGCGAGUAUUGUGCGUAGUGUCUAAAAAAACAGGGGCGGUGCCAUGGUGAGGGGGCAGGGGCCUUAUCCCCUAUGAUUUUUUUUAAGUGAUGAUCUAAAUAAUACUAACAAAGAUGAGAAAUAGAAAACGAAUUAAGACGAAGGGACUGUAUAUAUUAAGAGUUUUGGAUCGUUUAAUUCUAUUGGACCAAUAUUGGAAUAUGAUUUUUAUGCUAAUGUAAUUUUAUUUUAUUUGAGCAUGACAGUAAAUUUUGAAUAUCAUAAUAUCUGAAUCAUUCAGUUGAUGAAAAAAUGACGUCACUUUUACGUCAUCAAGCCCCUUAAUGAUGAUGAUACCCUAGCACCGCCCCUGAAUGAAACUACUUUCACACGCCAAGAUUCUGGCUGGUGAAAUUAGCAUAAAAACACAUUUCGAUAAUUCGGGCGUUUAUCGAUUUCGCGUCUGAAAAGACACGGACGUCACGUUUAUUCAAUACAAGGUGAGAUAUAUUGCUUUAAUUUUGUAGAUUUUAUUCGGUAUGCUAAUUAUAGAUUAUCCGUUUCGUUCGUUUUCAAGGUAAGAUUGGUUGCAUUGAUUUUAUCAGCCGUAAUCUUGUGUAUUUCAUGUUGGUAUGCCGAUUAUAUUUUUAAUUUUUAUAGCUAAACAUUAUACUCUUAAUCAUCAAAGUGUGGUUCAUUGAAUAGUACCGUAAUCGAGUUGUAAGCCCAUGGAAAAUUAGUUUGGUAAUCCUCAAGUCAAGUAUGACAUGCAUGAGCGAGACUGGAUGGGUUAUGAAUAAUAGGCACAAUGUAGACAUAUAGCCAUAUAAAGAGUGCAUAUGGGAAAGGGCCAAUGUUCAAAUUCAAAAGGUGGACAAGGACGAGAAUAGCUUAGAAUUCCCCUUCUUCAUACAAAGUAGAUCUAAAUUGUAUAUGCUCAGAUUGUAUUUGUCUAAAUUUUUGUUCUGCAAUUUGAAGUUAAUAGUCCCACGCACAUAAUGUCAUUAUAGAUAUAGAUAUCGUUUGCAAGCAUGGUGGUAAAAUGAUCGCGGAUUUGAGAUGGUAAUGGGCUAUUGCUGCAUACAAAGAGAACAAAUUUAUUUUACAAUCAUAACUACAAGUACCUGAGAGAAGCAUAAGCCUUUCUUUCUGUUCAGAAAGUAGCUGAAACAGAAGUAGAAGAUUAGAUUAUAACAGUGAUGAUAUUUAGGAUUAUUGUGAAAUGAAAAGGACAAUGAAUUUCGUUUUAUAGUCUAUAGAUCUAUUGCACAUACUUUAUAGGUACCAUUUUUAGAGCCAAACAUGGAAUUUGAGUUAAUGGCAAUAUGUAUGAUUAUGAUAGAUAUAAUGAUUAUUGUACAAAAGUGAUGAUUAUUAAAGAAAUGACAAUGAAUUUAUUUUUAUAUUUUUUAUCUAAUUCAUGUAUUCGAAUUGUUAAAAAGCAUUAUCAGAAUCAAGCUAUUAAAUGAAAUUUUGUUUAGGCCUACAUUCUAGAUCUAGUGCAUAACUUAUGUUUUGAAUUAAUAGAAACCGUUAUCAGAGCCUAUCAAUUUCUGACAGGUAGUUUUGUAUCGAUGGUAAUAAUUAUGAUUAGUAUAACCGUGAUAAUAAUAAAGAUUAUUAUAAAAAAUUGAUUUCUAUUGUAUAUCUUAUGCAUAAUUCAUGUACAUGUACAGGUGUAUUCGAAUUUAUAGAAAUAAGAACCAAGCUAUUUCUUUAAUGAAAGUUUGUACCAAGCUAUUUCAUUAUUAUGGAAUUUUGUUUUAUAUUCUAGGACUAGUGUAUUCAUGUAUUUGAAUUUAAAGAAGUCAUUAUCAGAACCAAGCUAUUUAAUCAAUAUGGAAUUUCUUGUUAUAUUCUAGCUCUUGUGCACAAGUUAAGUAUUCUACAGUAUAUUAUAGUAAUUAUAAGAACCAAGCUUUUUUUUAACAUUGAAGUUUGUAUCAAGCUAUUUCAACAAGUAAUGUUACUAGAUCUAGUGUAUUAUUUUCAUGUAUUCGAAUUUAUACAAAUCAUUUUCAGAAACAUUGUUUCAUUAACAUGGAAUUUUGUUGUAUAUUCUAGAUCUAGCGAAUAAUUUAAGUAUUCAAAUUUAGAGAGACCAUCAGAGCCAAGAUAUUUCAUUAACAUGAAUUUUGUGUUUAUGUUACAGGUACAUGGAAUGCCCCAAAUAUCUACACAGUAAUAUAUAGCUAGGAGGCAAGUCUAGUUUGAAUAGUCAUCAGUAAAAAAGAUGGUUACCACAGUUACUGGACUUAUUAAGGAUUUAUUAUGGAGACCUGAGCAAACCUUAUCAACAUGAAUAAAUUUCUGCACGAGUAAUUACCUUGUAGAACAAUACAGUAACUACUUCUUGAUUUUAAUGAAACUAUGAAUUUUAUCGAGCUGGUUUGUUGAGGUCAAGUUUAGUGUCAGGAUUUCUAGGCAAAAUUGAUACAUUAGGUCCCCAGUAGGCGCCUGACACUUUAAGCUUGUUCUUAAACUAGCUCGUUAAGAUUUAUUAUUUCAUGUCAAGUUGAUUGCUGCUUUGUCACUAAAGGUUACGUAAUUUUUAGCCUCAGUGGGAUAGCUCGACUAUAUUUUGAAAAAAAAAGUUGAGGUCGCGCGUUAAACGUACAAUAAAUUGUUCAGCGUUAGCCUUCCGAUGUUAGGUUUUCGGCGAAAAAAACCCCUGUAAAUAUAAUUUUAAAUUAUUCGUCCAUCCACACGGCUAUUCGCUGAAUCUUUCAUACGACCAUUUGUUUCUUGCCUUUAGUCAUGCUCAAUAUGCACAUAAUCAUCGACCGUCUCGCUCCUUUGAAGGUACGUCUAUACUAUUCACAUUCUUUUGACAAUUCUUUUUCCAUGUUUUAUACACAUCAAUCAUUCAUAUAAGUAUAAUUGUUAUUGAAAUUGUGGUUUGAAGUUUUAACAAUAGUUACACGCACGUAAUAUAAUAAUACUAGUAGAUCUAGACAAAUGUACAGGGUUGGUAUUGGGACUAAAGUUAUUGUGGAUUUUAGAUAGGAAAGGGGAAAUGAUAACAAUCAUACAUGUAGACUCCUGGCAAAACAGAGGCUCGACUUUCUGUUAUUUGAUCUAGCUGAAAAAGAAGUAGAAGUAACAAAAAAAAAAGGUUUAAGGUGAUAAUUAUGAAAGUGAUAAGGAAUACAAUGCCGAAAUAGCAAAAAAUUGUUUAGUCGAACCGAUGGUAGUUAUAAUG